Molecule: ribosomal RNA, 468 nt
Filed under: uncultured bacterium
Lineage: Bacteria
Description: partial 16S ribosomal RNA
Rfam family: Bacterial small subunit ribosomal RNA
Source: RNAcentral
GACGAACGCUGGCGGCGUGCUUAACACAUGCAAGUCGAACGGAAAGGCCCUGCUUUUGUGGGGUGCUCGAGUGGCGAACGGGUGAGUAACACGUGAGUAACCUGCCCUUGACUUUGGGAUAACUUCAGGAAACUGGGGCUAAUACCGGAUAGGAGCUCCUGCUGCAUGGGGGGGGUUGGAAAGUUUCGGCGGUUGGGGAUGGACUCGCGGCUUAUCAGCUUGUUGGUGGGGUAGUGGCUUACCAAGGCUUUGACGGGUAGCCGGCCUGGGAGGGUGACCGGCCACCUUGGGCCUAAGAUACGGCCCAGACUCCUACGGGAGGCAGCAGUGGGGAAUAUUGCACAAUGGGCGGAAGCCUGAUGCAGAAGCGCCGCGUGCGGGAUGACGGCCUUCGGGUUGUAAACCGCUUUCGCCUGUGACGAAGCGUGAGUGACGGUACUGGGUAAAGAAGCACCGGCUAACUACGUG